UACGGAGGAUGCGAGCGUUAUCCGGAUUUAUUGGGUUUAAAGGGUGCGUAGGCGGAUCGUUAAGUCAGUGGUCAAAUUGAGGGGCUCAACCCCUUCCCGCCAUUGAAACUGGCGAUCUUGAGUGGAAGAGAAGUAUGCGGAAUGUGUGGUGUAGCGGUGAAAUGCAUAGAUAUCACGCAGAACCCCGAUUGCGAAGGCAGCAUGCCGGCUUCCGACUGACGCUGAAGCACGAAAGCGUGGGGAUCGAACAGG
RNAcentral lists this ribosomal RNA (252 nucleotides) under uncultured bacterium. RNAcentral's name for it is "partial 16S ribosomal RNA". It matches the Rfam family "Bacterial small subunit ribosomal RNA", at positions 524 to 776 of the family's 1533-position model. The record is from RNAcentral.